This is a long non-coding RNA of Pseudopipra pipra, 324 nucleotides long. RefSeq lists it as uncharacterized. The record is from RefSeq and is a predicted model, not a curated record. NCBI's taxonomy places the organism in Eukaryota, Metazoa, Chordata, Aves, Passeriformes, Pipridae. The transcript has 2 exons.
CCCAUUCUCCCCUUCACUUGGCCUCCUAAAGCAGGAACUUUGGCUGUUCUCUCCCCUUACUGGAGGGCAUGGCUAAUCCACUGGUGGAUCUUCAGCAGUGGAUUCACCAGCUCUACAGGCAGAAAACCUUCAGCCUACUCCCACUGUACUCUGGGCCCUGCUGAGACAUUAAGACAUUAAGAGUAGGACUCUGCUGCUGCUCCCUUCUUAACACAAGAAACAAGGGUCAAGACACAGGAUGAAGUCUUUGGUUCUGGCUGAUAAAAAUGAGCUGCAUGGGUAGAGAGUUCAGGAGAGCAAAGGAGAUGGAUUGCAGAUUGUGAA